UUUUCGACUUUUUCUUUGCGCUGCUCUUUCUUCGUCAGUCUUUCAGUGUCGGGUCUAUAUGUUUUAAUGAGUUGCUUCUCUAUAUUCCACACUCUUUUAAAGUGUGAGUUUUUUCUGUUGAUGGUCUUUGAUUGUGUGAAAAUGGUAGUUAUCAGAUUCUUCACUUCCAAUUAUUGCCACGAAAGCUAUGUAUGUGUUCGUUUUGGUUGGAUUUCUUAUACUGAGGUUUGCUCCCUCUGGGUUUUAUACUAAUUUGAGAUCUCUGUGUUGAACUUCGUAUUUACUUCUUUUACUUAUUUACCAAAGUACGUAUACGGGUAGAUACGCAAAUUGCACAACACUUUACCAUUAUUUUAAUUUUAUUGGCUAUUUAAUUAGGAAUUGCAUCUGCAUUUGAACAGAAUUUAGCUUCGAAGUUGUAGGGAAAAACCCCUUUUACAUACAGUGAAGUCCAGACUUUUAGGAGGUCUGACAGAGCCCAAACGUAGAACUGAGACUCUGCGCCUCUCAUGAACCAUUGGGUCGCCUAGAAAAGUAUCUACUUUUGUGUUGAAGAUAAAGAGUACUACAAAAAGGGAAUCUAUAAUAGAGAGCCAGUGUAAUAAUUUUCAACCAAUUGGGUUAAUGAAUUAGACGUUGAUUAUUUUGAUAUUACAUGGUUUGCUUCACCCAUCUUUUUUUCUUAUCUCUUUGAGUUUAUUUUAUCAACUUUAAUUCUUACAUGAUUUUCUAUUAAUAUUUGGAAAGUUUAAUUUUUGAAUAAUGAAAAUAACAAAAAAAUGUGGUGAUUCAAGGGCGGACUUAAUGUUGCCCUUUUAGCUAUAAAUUUUCCAUCUUACUCCUUCUCCACUAUGGUUGCACUCCUGCCUGAUAGGAGAAUAAAAGUGAUUGUAAAUACCCAAUAUAUGAUCAUUCUCGAUUUUGUUCAUCAAUCCUUCUUUCGAAUUGUGAAUGAUAUUCAAUCAAGAGUAAAUUUUAGAGAGGGUAUAGUUAGCAUAUUCUGUUAGUCGUGGAUAAAUGAUCACUAAAGCUUUCACAGAAAGCAGAAAAGAACCAUCUUAUCGUCUCUCUGUAUGAUAAUGGAUAAAUUGUCCUAUCUAAAAUCCGUAAGUCUUAAUUUUUUCUAAUUAUGUUUUACACAUUUGAAUUUAUGCUAUUAAUGAGCUGCAAAUGCCCAAAAAUAUGUUAUCGUGUUUCUCUUUGUCUCUCUCUUUUUUGGGUUUGUGAGGGUGGAGCAUAAGGUUCAGUUAAAAGAGAUUAAUUUUUUAUAUUUGAUCCUUUCUUUAUGGUUACCCCUUUCUUUUCCGUCGUUGAGAUGAGUUGCUUAAUGAAGAGCUUGGAAGGAACUAUAUGGAAAUUUUGUCAGUUUAUCCAGGGGAUUGAGAUGUAGGCUUGAGAUGAACACAUGCGUAUUCCAACAAUAUCAUCGAGAUAUAACCAACCCCUCAAAGGAAAAUAGUGAACUUGGGUGUACUAUCAACAGAGGUGACCCUCAGGUUUUUCUUCAUGAUUUGAAGCAUACUGCUGCAAGUUCAUCACAAAAUAUGGAUUAUUUAGAGAUUAUGUUGGUGAUUAUCUCCAAGGAUGACAUCGAUAUUCUUGACUUUGCUGGUUGGAAGAUAUAAAGAUGGAAAGGCAGAUGGAAGUCGUUGUGUAAGAAUUGUAAUGUCUAUGAGUUCAAGUAAUUACACUUCAUUAUUCAGACUUGCCAAACUUAUUAGAAGAUAUUGACUUUCCCUUCUUGGAGAAGAUGUAUUCAGCGAGUCGUCUUUUUAUGCGCAAGAGAUAUGGAGAGAGUACAAGGCCAGAAGAAAUCUUGCUGAUUGUGCUAUUGUGGCUGAAGAGCUAUGGUAGAACGUCUUGGAUUUUGCAGCUCUCAAAGGGAGUUUUGUGUCAUUCUUCAAUAUGGAGAAACCAGAAAGUACUAUACAGUGGAAUAUAGUGUACAAGGGUCUAUGGGGCUAUUGAUUUGCGUUAAAGACAUUAAAUUUAUUUUAAUAAAGAAAAUCUUUGUGAAUUAGUUCAAUAGGUCAAUUUAUUCUUCAAGUAUCAAUAAUCGUGAACAGAUUCUUUUUACCUUUUAAUGUUGUGUAGAAGAUUCACGAUUCCAUAUGGGCACAAUUUAUAUUUCACUAUGACUAUGUGAUUUGAAAGUGAAAGCCCUACUUUUUCUACCAGUGAAUGUUAUUACAGGAUUUUAUACCUAUAUUAUAUGAAUAAAAAUGUUUAUCAACAAUUUUCAUGA
Long non-coding RNA from Nicotiana tabacum (common tobacco), 2245 nucleotides. RefSeq lists it as uncharacterized. The record is from RefSeq and is a predicted model, not a curated record. NCBI's taxonomy places the organism in Eukaryota, Viridiplantae, Streptophyta, Magnoliopsida, Solanales, Solanaceae.